GAUAAACGCUAGCGGCAGGCUUAACGCAUGCAAGUCGAGGGGCAGCAUAGAUUGUAGCAAUACAAUUGGUGGCGACCGGCGCACGGGUGCGUAACGCGUAUGCAGCCUACCCGUCACAGGGGGAUAAUCCGGAGAAAUCUGGUCUAAUACCCCAUAACAUAUGGAUCGGCAUCGGUUCAUGUUGAAAUUUUCGGAGGUGACGGAUGGGCAUGCGUAGCAUUAGCUUGUUGGUGAGGUAACGGCUCACCAAGGCGACGAUGCUUAGGGGGACUGAGAGGUUUUCCCCCCACACUGGUACUGAGACACGGACCGGACUCCUACGGGAGGCAGCAGUGAGGAAUAUUGGUCAAUGGGCGCAAGCCUGAACCAGCCAUGCCGCGUGCAGGAUGACGGCUCUAUGGGUUGUAAACUGCUUUUGUACGAGGGUAAAGUGGGUUACGUGUAACCUUUUGAAAGUAUCGUACGAAUAAGGAUCGGCUAACUCCGUGCCAGCCGCCGCCGCAG
This 504-nucleotide ribosomal RNA is filed under the name uncultured bacterium. Its description in RNAcentral is "partial 16S ribosomal RNA". It matches the Rfam family "Bacterial small subunit ribosomal RNA", at positions 28 to 523 of the family's 1533-position model. The record is from RNAcentral.